GACGAACGCUGGCGGCGUGCUUAACACAUGCAAGUCGAACGGAAAGGCCCUGCUUUUGUGGGGUGCUCGAGUGGCGAACGGGUGAGUAACACGUGAGUAACCUGCCCUUGACUUUGGGUAAAUUUCGGGAACUGGGGGUUAUUACGGGAAGGAGCUUCUGGCGCCAGGGGGGGGGUGGGAAAGUUCGGCGGUUGGGGAUGGACUCGCGGCUUAUCAGCUUGUUGGUGGGGUAGUGGCUUACCAAGGCUUUGACGGGUAGCCGGCCUGAGAGGGUGACCGGCCACAUUGGGACUGAGAUACGGCCCAGACUCCUACGGGAGGCAGCAGUGGGGAAUAUUGCACAAUGGGCGGAAGCCUGAUGCAGCAACGCCGCGUGCGGGAUGACGGCCUUCGGGUUGUAAACCGCUUUCGCCUGUGACGAAGCGUGAGUGACGGUAAUGGGUAAAGAAGCACCGGCUAACUACGUG
Molecule: ribosomal RNA, 467 nt
Filed under: uncultured bacterium
Lineage: Bacteria
Description: partial 16S ribosomal RNA
Rfam family: Bacterial small subunit ribosomal RNA
Source: RNAcentral